RNAcentral lists this long non-coding RNA (670 nucleotides) under Lathyrus oleraceus (garden pea). RNAcentral describes it as "Pisum sativum (pea) long non-coding RNA (PSAT_LNC027674)". The record is from RNAcentral. Lineage: Eukaryota; Viridiplantae; Streptophyta; Magnoliopsida; Fabales; Fabaceae.
GGCUCAAUAUUAAAUCGAGAAAAUAUGAUUUUUAUAAGUUAAAAAAAUGGUUUCGAAUGCAUGAUGCAAUUAAAAGAAAAAACAAAUCUAUAUUAUUAAACAAUAAUAAAAAAAAAGAAAAAAAAAAGAAAUAUGAAUAAUAAAGCAUAAAAAGAAAAUAUUAAAAGAAUGAAAAACUACACCUAAGAGUAUUGAACUCACUAUACUAAAGAUCUAGAAGCUACCCCCUCUCCGCUAGACCAAAUGACUAGUUUUUAUUUAUAACAACCAUUUGGGUAUAUAAACCAGAACAAACUGGAAUAAAAUUUUUUGUUAAAAAAAGAAAAUAGGUUGGACUACCAAAUGGGAGAAAACAAAGAAAGAUACCCUAGCCGCCUGGCUGUUGGGUUUUCCAAUGGAACAUGAAUUGAAAAAUCUGAAAAUAUUUAUUAACUAAGACUUAGGAAAUUUAAAUGAAAAUCUUAAUGGUUUCAAAAAAUCUUGUUACGUUACCAAAUAUAAAGAAACAAAUAAAAGAAAAAAAAUGAAACAGAAACCACUCGUUGUCUCUGAGCUCUCUCCUUCUCACCAACUCCAUCGCUUUCCCUCAAUCUCACGAAAUCUCUCGCUCCAUCACUCUUAAUGUUUCUCUCUCGAAAUCUCACUCAAACUCUCGUAUCUCGCCUAACUC